This is a long non-coding RNA of Dermochelys coriacea (leatherback sea turtle), 581 nucleotides long. RefSeq lists it as uncharacterized. Lineage: Eukaryota; Metazoa; Chordata; Testudines; Dermochelyidae. The transcript is spliced from 4 exons. The record is from RefSeq and is a predicted model, not a curated record.
CUGGAGAAGCUGAGAGCUCCAUAGCAUUGGACUGAGAAAAGCCUCUCAGAGAGAGACAAUUUCUUGGCAGAAGAGUUCAGGGAAGGUUACUGUACAGUAGAUGUCUGCAAAGGACACGGGAGAAGGUGUAUAAUUUAAAAGGCUAUGAUUUAUAUAUGCCUAGAGAAGCAGACAUAUCCUGGAACUUUUGUGGAAAUCCUCAUUAAGAAUGGAUACAGCAACUGCAGACACUGAUGAUGAGGGGCAGGAUGAGGAGGCAGAAGGGACCUUGGAAGUCCUAGAGAAAAAGCCUGCCUAAGUACCCAGCAGACCCAGUUGAGAGAGCCCACAUCAGGAGAACCACAGCAGGAACCGAGGCUGUAUCUAGUUUCAGAUGCUCCAAAAAUGAAGAUGAAAGAAAUGCCAUCAUGGAAAAUAAUGGCAUAACCUCCAGAAAAGUGAAGUUACUUCCUAGCUCCCAUCAGUUACUGUUUGGCUUACGUGCUUAAAGCAGAAAUUUUUAAUAUAUAUAUUUUGUCCUAUCUAAUAUAUAACGCUGAAUGUUAUCUUUAACCAUAUACAUAUGUCUGAUCUUUUUUCUU